This is a non-coding RNA of Neolamprologus brichardi, 323 nucleotides long. NCBI's taxonomy places the organism in Eukaryota, Metazoa, Chordata, Actinopteri, Cichliformes, Cichlidae. The record is from the annotation of a RefSeq genome assembly.
GUGUUAGUCUGGGGAUUGAGGUUCGUCAGUCUUCCUCUGAUAUUGUCGCAAAGGCUAGUGACAAAGUUCAGAUUUUCUGCAGUCAUGAUAAAACUGACUACAGGAUGAUGUUCUGGUACCAGCAGUCGCCUGGAGACACGGCUAUGAAACUCAUUGGGUUUUUAAACUAUGUAGCCGUCACACUUGAAGAACAAUAUAGAGAUCUUUUCAGUAUCACUGGAAAUCUUGGGGGCGAUUCUGCAAAGAAUGGCUCACUAACUAUCCAAGUCAAAGGACGAGAGCACAGUGCAGUGUACUACUGUGCAGCAAGCAAAGCACAAUGA